GGGUUGUGAGGUUAAGCGACUAAGCGUACACGGUGGAUGCCCUGGCAGUCAGAGGCGAUGAAGGACGUGCUAAUCUGCGAUAAGCGCCGGUAAGGUGAUAUGAACCGUUAUAACCGGCGAUUUCCGAAUGGGGAAACCCAGUGUGAUUCGUCACACUAUCAUUAACUGAAUCCAUAGGUUAAUGAGGCGAACCGGGGGAACUGAAACAUCUAAGUACCCCGAGGAAAAGAAAUCAACCGAGAUUCCCCCAGUAGCGGCGAGCGAACGGGGAGGAGCCCAGAGCCUGAAUCAGCAUGUGUGUUAGUGGAAGCGUCUGGAAAGGCGCGCGAUACAGGGUGACAGCCCCGUACACAAAAAUGCACAUGCUGUGAGCUCGAUGAGUAGGGCGGGACACGUGGUAUCCUGUCUGAAUAUGGGGGGACCAUCCUCCAAGGCUAAAUACUCCUGACUGACCGAUAGUGAACCAGUACCGUGAGGGAAAGGCGAAAAGAACCCCGGCGAGGGGAGUGAAAAAGAACCUGAAACCGUGUACGUACAAGCAGUGGGAGCACCCUUUGGGGUGUGACUGCGUACCUUUUGUAUAAUGGGUCAGCGACUUAUAUUCUGUAGCAAGGUUAACCGUAUAGGGGAGCCGGAGGGAAACCGAGUCUUAACCGGGCGUUAAGUUGCAGGGUAUAGACCCGAAACCCGGUGAUCUAGCCAUGGGCAGGUUGAAGGUUGGGUAACACUAACUGGAGGACCGAACCGACUAAUGUUGAAAAAUUAGCGGAUGACCUGUGGCUGGGGGUGAAAGGCCAAUCAAACCGGGAGAUAGCUGGUUCUCCCCGAAAGCUAUUUAGGUAGCGCCUCGUGAACUCAUCUCCGGGGGUAGAGCACUGUUUCGGCUAGGGGGCCAUCCCGGCUUACCAACCCGAUGCAAACUGCGAAUACCGGAGAAUGUUAUCACGGGAGACACACGGCGGGUGCUAACGUCCGUCGUGAAGAGGGAAACAACCCAGACCGCCAGCUAAGGUCCCAAAGUCAUGGUUAAGUGGGAAACGAUGUGGGAAGGCCCAGACAGCCAGGAUGUUGGCUUAGAAGCAGCCAUCAUUUAAAGAAAGCGUAAUAGCUCACUGGUCGAGUCGGCCUGCGCGGAAGAUGUAACGGGGCUAAACCAUGCACCGAAGCUGCGGCAGCGAACGUAUCACUUAAAGCGAUUCAGCGGGUUACGAUUGACGGAGCGAAGCGACGUCAAAGCGUAUACAAAGUCGAGUCGGUUUAAGGAUACGUU
Molecule: ribosomal RNA, 1270 nt
Filed under: Salmonella enterica
Lineage: Bacteria; Pseudomonadati; Pseudomonadota; Gammaproteobacteria; Enterobacterales; Enterobacteriaceae
Also listed under: 1 other name
Description: partial 23S ribosomal RNA
Rfam family: Bacterial large subunit ribosomal RNA
Source: RNAcentral